UAGGGAAUCUUCCGCAAUGGACGCAAGUCUGACGGAGCAACGCCGCGUGAGUGAAGAAGGAUUUCGGUUCGUAAAACUCUGUUGUUAGAGAAGAACAGCGCAUAGAGUAACUGUUAUGCGUGUGACGGUAUCUAACCAGAAAGCCACGGCUAACUACGUGCCAGCAGCCGCGGUAAUACGUAGGUGGCAAGCGUUGUCCGGCUUUAUUGGGCGUAAAGCGAGCGCAGGCGGUCAAUUAAGUCUGAUGUGAAAGCCCCCGGCUCAACCGGGGAGGGUCAUUGGAAACUGGUUGACUUGAGUGCAGAAGAGGAGAGUGGAAGUCCAGGUGUAGCGGUGAAAUGCGUAGAUAGAUGGAGGAACACCAGUGGCGAAGGCGACUCUCUGGUCUGUAACUGACGCUGAGGCUCGAAAGCGUGGGUAGCAAACAGG
RNAcentral lists this ribosomal RNA (429 nucleotides) under Bacteroidota bacterium. RNAcentral's name for it is "Bacteroidetes bacterium partial 16S ribosomal RNA". It matches the Rfam family "Bacterial small subunit ribosomal RNA", at positions 355 to 776 of the family's 1533-position model. Lineage: Bacteria; Pseudomonadati; Bacteroidota. The record is from RNAcentral.